AUGCCCCGGGAUGAGGCAUGUCAAAGGAGCAUCCAACCGCAGUCUCCAGGAGGAAGGUCUGUGACUUGCCAUUGUGGCUCUCCUGCAGAGAUGUUGCAUCCUACUCCAGCCAUGCCACAUCACCACGCCCAAGCAAUCCCGCAGGUAAGUCACAGAACUGCUCUGAAUGCGAGUUUCUCAUCUGUGGAUUCGAGCUGAGCUUCCCUUCCUCUCGGUGUGGCUCUGAAUGAAGCAGGAGCAUGUGCAGAGCACUGUGUACCUGACAAGGACCACAUGGCCCCUGUGAGAUGUUCUCCGUGGGAAGCAUGAAGUUCACAGUGCACCUGCUAGGUUUGGCGGCCUGCAAGCGGCCAGAGGCUGUUUGCUGGGAGGAGCUCACUCAUGCCAGUGAGAGAUGA
This 398-nucleotide long non-coding RNA is filed under the name Homo sapiens (human). RNAcentral describes it as "non-protein coding lnc-SSTR4-18:1". Lineage: Eukaryota; Metazoa; Chordata; Mammalia; Primates; Hominidae. The record is from RNAcentral.